CAGUGGAGCGUGUGGUUUAAUUCGAAGCAACGCGCAGAACCUUACCAGGUCUUGACAUCCCCUGACAGCCUCAGAGAUGAGGUGUUCUGGUUUCCAGACAGGGAGGCAGGUGUUGCAUGGUUGUCGUCAGCUCGUGUCGUGAGAUGUUGGGUUAAGUCCCGCAACGAGCGCAACCCCCGUUCUGUGUUGCCAGCGUAAAGUCGGGCACUCACAGGAGACUGCCGGAGACAAUUCGGAGGAAGGUGGGGAUGACGUCAAAUCCUCAUGGCCCUUAUGACCUGGGCUACACACGCGCUACAAUGGCCUGUACAGAGGGAAGCGAAAGAGCGAUCUGGAGCGAAUCUCACAAAACAGGUCUCAGUUCGGAUUGCAGGCUGAAACCCGCCUGCAUGAAGCCGGAAUUGCUAGUAAUCGCAGAUCAGCUACGCUGCGGUGAAUACGUUCUCGGGCCUU
Molecule: ribosomal RNA, 453 nt
Filed under: uncultured Eubacteriales bacterium
Lineage: Bacteria; Bacillati; Bacillota; Clostridia; Eubacteriales
Description: bacterial SSU rRNA
Rfam family: Bacterial small subunit ribosomal RNA
Source: RNAcentral